CGCGCUAACCUAGAACCCA
RNAcentral lists this small nuclear RNA (19 nucleotides) under Arabidopsis thaliana (thale cress). Its description in RNAcentral is "snRNA_09022". The record is from RNAcentral. Lineage: Eukaryota; Viridiplantae; Streptophyta; Magnoliopsida; Brassicales; Brassicaceae.